This 781-nucleotide non-coding RNA is filed under the name Bombyx mori (domestic silkworm). Lineage: Eukaryota; Metazoa; Arthropoda; Insecta; Lepidoptera; Bombycidae. The record is from RNAcentral.
AAUAAAAUUAUUUAUGGUUUAAAAAUUUAUUAUAAAUUUAUUUUACAUAUAAAUUUUAGUGUUAAUUUUUAAUUUAUUUAAAUAAUAAUUAAUAUUUAUUUGUAGUAAUUAGAAUUAAAAAUUUAAGUAAUUAAGAUUUAGUAAUAUUUAAAUUAAUAACAAAUUUUGUGCCAGCAGUUGCGGUUAUACAAAAAUUAAAUUAAAUUUUUUUAGGGAUUAAUUAAUAAUAGAUUAUAUAAUAAAAUUAAAAUUUAAAUUAUUAAGUGAAAUUUUAAUUUAUGAAAAUUUUAUAUUGAAUUAUGAAUUAAAAAAUUUUAUUAAAAACUAGGAUUAGAUACCCUAUUAUUAAAAAUUUAAAUUAAUAAUACUAAAAUAGUAUAUAAUUAUUUAUAAAAACUUAAAUAAUUUGGCGGUAUUUUAGUUUAUUUAGAGGAAUCUGUUUAUUAAUUGAUAUUCCACGAAUAAAUUUACUUAAUUUAUUUAAUUUUGUAUAUCGUUGUUAAAAAAAUAUUUUAAAAUAAUAAUAAUAUUUUAAUUUUUAUAUUAAAAGUUAAAUCAGAUCAAGAUGCAGAUUAUAAUUAAGAAUAUAAUGGAUUACAAUAAAUUUAUUUAAUUGGAUGUUAUUUUUAAAAAUUAAUUGAAAUUGGAUUUAAAUGUAAUUUUAUUUAAUUUAUUAAAAUGAUUUUAAUUUAAAAUAUGUACAUAUUGCCCGUCGCUUUCAUUAAUAAAUUGAAAUAAGUCGUAACAAAGUAGGGGUACUGGAAAGUGUUUCUAGAAAGAG